Molecule: long non-coding RNA, 1052 nt
Organism: Orbicella faveolata
Lineage: Eukaryota; Metazoa; Cnidaria; Anthozoa; Scleractinia; Merulinidae
Source: RefSeq, a predicted model, not a curated record
AAGUUGCGUUGUCAAAUUUCUCCGGCGUAGUGUGGACCUGACCUUACAGUAGGCACGUUUCCAAGUUAGGCAAGUUGCUAAGUUUGGUCGAUGGUUUUUGUUUUCUUUUCGCCUUCGAGGUAUUUACAAAUGUCUAUGCUAUUGAUACCAACAGGUGGGCGUAUGGCAUCGUACUUUGGGAGAUUUUAACAAUCGGUGGGACGCCAUAUCCUACCAUAAGUAAUCAUGAACUUUUGGGGGCUCUGAAAUCUGGAUACAGAAUGGAAAAACCACAGAUUUGCUCAGAUGAAAUGUAUGAAUUGAUGCGGCAGUGUUGGAAAGAGAAUCCCGCUGAGAGGCCUUCAUUCAAUGACAUCCGGGAACAACUGGAACGUAUGAUGUUACACCAUUGUCCUUAUUUGGAUAUGGCUGACGGAAACUAUAGUUACGCACCAUGUUAUGACACUGUCAGUGACGAAAAAGCGGAACUGGAAAGUACUUUGUAAAUUUGUAUGUAUGAUUUUUCGACGUGAUGACAUGUCCUAUAAUGUUAACCCUCAGAUCCAAGAGUAGAUUCAUAACUCGCCGUGAGGUGAGGGAGAUUUUUCUUUCUGGACAUAUCAAACUAUUCUGCGUUAAGUAACUCUCAUUUUCAAAUAGAAAUAACCCUCAACUUACGCCAUCUUGGAUCCGCCAUCUUAGAACGCACCAGCCUCGCAAGAGGUCAAGAACAUGAUAAUAGAGUGUAAAAAACAAGACGUCUGUAGCCAAUAUUUCUUCAUUUUAUUCCUGUAAAUCCUCAUUUCACUUUGAAUUUAUCUAUAUUUCUUUUCUUUUCUAAUUGCAAUGCUCUGUGGGAUCGUAAGCUCUUUUCUGGCUGGGGCUUCUGCAGGAGGCAUCAUCAGGUCCUGUGGGAUAACUUCCUGACCAAUAGAAAAAGUACGCCCAAACAUUCAUUUUAGUGAACUUGGUGAGCUGAAAAAGAAAAGUAAAAGAAGUAAGAUAGGUUAAGACAUUUAUUCCGGGGGGUACUCCCUAUAAUAGGGGUAUCGAAUGGUCCAAUUCAAUUUGAA